RNAcentral lists this ribosomal RNA (261 nucleotides) under uncultured bacterium. RNAcentral's name for it is "partial 16S ribosomal RNA". It matches the Rfam family "Bacterial small subunit ribosomal RNA", at positions 526 to 779 of the family's 1533-position model. The record is from RNAcentral.
CGUAGGGGCGUAGCGUUGUCCGGAAUCAUUGGGCGUAAAGAGCGUGUAGGCGGCCCGGUAAGUCCGCUGUGAAAGUCGGGGGCUCAACCCUCGAAUGCCGGUGGGAUACUGUCGGGCUAGAGUGCGGAAGAGGCGAGUGGAAUUCCUGGUGUAGCGGUGAAAUGCGCAGAUAUCAGGAGGAACACCAAUUGCGAAAGGGCAGCCCGCUUGGGAACGUAACUGACGCUGAGAACGCGAAAGCGUGGGGAGACAAACAGGAUU